Molecule: long non-coding RNA, 2233 nt
Filed under: Homo sapiens (human)
Lineage: Eukaryota; Metazoa; Chordata; Mammalia; Primates; Hominidae
Source: RNAcentral
UUUGUAGUUCUCCUUCAAGAGGUCCUUCACAUCCCUUGUAAGUUGGAUUCCUAGGUAUUUUAUUCUCUUUGAAGUGAUUGUAUACACAUAAACUUAUGGACACAUGAGUGAUAGUCAAAUUUCAAUCACUAAUGUGGCAUGAGCACUGACCCACCAGAAUGGCCAUGGUAAUUCACCAUGGAGCAGUAUUGCAUCAUCCUGAGUGAGAGUGAAGAAGAAUUGAGGUAGAGGGAAACUGAUAGAUGUGUUUGAGAUUUUAAAAUUAUUUCUCAAACUUUUACACCAAAAUAUAUCCUGGUACAUGUGCAACUUCUAUGGCUCUGUCAGACUCAUUUAAUAGGAAACUACCCACAGAAGAAAAUAAGGAAAACGAAUUCUGUAGGUAGAGAAAUGUAAUGACUAAGAUUUUAAAUGUUAUGACUAAGAUACAUGUUUAGUUGAUAAAAAUUAAUAAAAAUAAGAAACUUUCCUUCCUAGGGCAGCAUAAGAUCAUUUCAGAAUGAAGAUGCUUUGGGAUCUGACUUCGGACUGUAAGAAUGACAAACUCUGAAUGGGUGCAAAGGUAGCAGAUGACCUUCAAAGGAUGGUGAGAUUAAAUUUACCUACACCUAGAGAAAUAAUUGGAGCACAUGUCUAUUUGGGCCAAGAGGAUAAAGGCCAGUAGAGGAAUCAGAUCAAAGAACUUCCUCAGGGAAGUGUGCAGAGAACUGGAGUGGACCUUCCCCUAGGAAGCUGCCCAAAACGAGAGUGCUGGAAAGCUGGCCGCAGUGAGGCACUUCAGAUCCCAAGGGUAUGCUGGGGAAGCUGCCACAGGUGGGAGCACUUGCUGCUGGACCCUAGGCACUGUUGAAACAACUGCACCAUCUGCAGGAGCCCAGCAAGUGUCUCAGGAUGAUACAUACCGGUUUUUAACUUUGGUGUCAUCAAAUGCAAUUGCAAUGUGACUGUUUCUUGAAAGCCCGAACUGCUUGCUCCCUAUCAAAAGAGCUGGUUCUGAUUCUGCAGCACAAGGACCCUGUAAAAUACCCAGGAGAGAAAAACAGGAGAUUAUGGACUGUUCUUUAAAAAGUGCAAGGAGCACAUUGCUCAACCAAUUCCAUCGUGGACACUAAGGAAGAGAAUGAGAUAUUCAAGAGUUUUCAAGAUCUGCACUCAAGACAACAUUGCCCACCCAUUACUGGUAUGGAAUAUAACCACAACACAUGAGCUGUAAAGAGUGUAGUGACUGUGACCAUCUUUGUUGUAUUGGUGAUAAGAAUGUAAAUUGGCAUAGCCUGUGGAAGAAACAAUUCAGGUAUGUGUAUUGAAAACCUUAGACAUAUUCAUCUUUUGGCCUUAUAAUUUCCUAACUACUUAUCUAUUUUAAGAAUAACUGGAAAUAAUGAAAAAGCUUGAUGCAUAGAGGAGCUCAUCAGAGUAUAGUUUCUAAUAGUGAAAAACUGGAAACACUCUCAAUAGCCUACCAUGGUCUAUUAAAAGUAGAAUAAAUUGGAAAGGCAGAGUGUUCCAGAGAUAAGGAGUCAGACUUUGGAGUCUGACUCGCUAGAAUAAAAUUCUUACUCUGCCUUUUACUAGUGGUGUGAGUGGGUUGGUUGCUUAAGAUAGCUAAUUCUUAUUAACUCGACUAAAAGUAGAAAGACUAUAUUUUACAGAGCCGUUAUGAGAAUUACAUAUAAUAUUGAAUGAAAAUUGUUUAGCCCUGGGCUGGUGAAAGUACUCAUUAUUAUCAUUACUACAUAGUACUUAUGCCAUUUAUUAAACGUUCAGUAUAUGUGAGUCAUUGAACAAACAUUAUCUUUUAAAACUCUGAUACAAAGUCUUUGAUGUCUGUGCUGUUAAUAUCCUCAUUUGACAGAUGAGGAAACAGAAAUAGUCUAUGGCCAAAUCACCCUGAAAGCAUCCGAUCUUUUCUGAUCUCAAAAGCUAAGCAGGGUUGGGCCCGGUUAGUACUUGGAUGGGAAACUGAGAAAUAGAUUGGACAGGUAGCUUUCCCAAAUUCACACAGAUGGUCGGUUACAGUGCUGGGAUUUGAAUACCAGCAGUCUGACUUGAGCCCAUGCUCUAAUCAAGGCUAUAUGACCUCCAAUACUAUAAAAUAGUUGUGUGUCUCUGUGUGUAUAUAUACUUAACAUAAAAUCAUAUUAGACAUACACAUUUAUAUGAUGUUUAGAUACAGUUUUUAUUUAUUUAUUUAUUUUUAUUUUUUGGAGAUGGAGUCUCGCUCUGUUGCCCA